GCGGAGCAGGAGCUCGUGCGGCACGGCUUCAUCAUCUCCCGCCCGCCUAUCCUCACGCUGCCCAGGAUCGCCACGGUGGAUGGGGAGCUUCUGGGCGGAGAGUUCCACCGUGUGCAGCAGCAGCCGCCCUCGCACUCCAACCUCGCGCUCAGUCUCGCCAGCCUCGAGGCUCGUCUUGCUCACGUCCCCUCCACGGCUUACUAUCCCCUCAUAACGCAGAGAAAAAGCAGCAGCGAAGACACUGAGGCCAGGAAGCUGCCUCUGGUGAUCAGGGAGAAGGACGUCGAGUAUCAGUUUCACCGCAUCAUUCUCUUCCACCGCCUGC
Molecule: long non-coding RNA, 325 nt
Organism: Hyalella azteca
Lineage: Eukaryota; Metazoa; Arthropoda; Malacostraca; Amphipoda; Hyalellidae
Exons: 3
Source: RefSeq, a predicted model, not a curated record